CCUACGGGUGACAGCAGUGAGGAAUAUUGGUCAAUGGGCGCGAGCCUGAUCCAGCCAAGUAGCGUGAAGGAUGACUGCCCUACGGGUUGUAAACUUCUUUUAUAAAGGAAUAAAGUGAGGCACGUGUGCCUUUUUGUAUGUACUUUAUGAAUAAGGAUAGGCUAACUCCGUGCCAGCAGCGGCGGUAAUACGGAGGAUCCUAGCGUUAUCCGGAUUUAUUGGGUUUAAAGGGAGCGUAGAUGGGUUGUUAAGUCAGUUGUGAAAGUUUGCGGCUCAACCGUAAAAUGGCAAUUGAUACUGGCAGCCUUGAGUACAGUAGAGGUAGGCGGAAUUCGUGGUGUAGCGGUGAAAUGCUUAGAGAUCACGAAGAACUCCGAUGGCGAAGGCAGCUUACUAAACUGCCACUGACAUUGAGGCGCGAAAGUGUGGGGAUCAAACAGGAUUAGAUACCCGGGUAGUC
This 460-nucleotide ribosomal RNA is filed under the name uncultured bacterium. RNAcentral's name for it is "partial 16S ribosomal RNA". It matches the Rfam family "Bacterial small subunit ribosomal RNA", at positions 338 to 795 of the family's 1533-position model. The record is from RNAcentral.